AACUGAAUCCAUAGGUUAAUGAGGCGAACCGGGGGAACUGAAACAUCUAAGUACCCCGAGGAAAAGAAAUCAACCGAGAUUCCCCCAGUAGCGGCGAGCGAACGGGGAGGAGCCCAGAGCCUGAAUCAGCAUGUGUGUUAGUGGAAGCGUCUGGAAAGGCGCGCGAUACAGGGUGACAGCCCCGUACACAAAAGCGCAUGUGCUGUGAGCUCGAUGAGUAGGGCGGGACACGUGGUAUCCUGUCUGAAUAUGGGGGGACCAUCCUCCAAGGCUAAAUACUCCUGACUGACCGAUAGUGAACCAGUACCGUGAGGGAAAGGCGAAAAGAACCCCGGCGAGGGGAGUGAAAAAGAACCUGAAACCGUGUACGUACAAGCAGUGGGAGCACAGGUUUACCUGUGUGACUGCGUACCUUUUGUAUAAUGGGUCAGCGACUUAUAUUCUGUAGCAAGGUUAACCGUAUAGGGGAGCCGGAGGGAAACCGAGUCUUAACCGGGCGUUAAGUUGCAGGGUAUAGACCCGAAACCCGGUGAUCUAGCCAUGGGCAGGUUGAAGGUUGGGUAACACUAACUGGAGGACCGAACCGACUAAUGUUGAAAAAUUAGCGGAUGACCUGUGGCUGGGGGUGAAAGGCCAAUCAAACCGGGAGAUAGCUGGUUCUCCCCGAAAGCUAUUUAGGUAGCGCCUCGUGAACUCAUCUCCGGGGGUAGAGCACUGUUUCGGCUAGGGGGCCAUCCCGGCUUACCAACCCGAUGCAAACUGCGAAUACCGGAGAAUGUUAUCACGGGAGACACACGGCGGGUGCUAACGUCCGUCGUGAAGAGGGAAACAACCCAGACCGCCAGCUAAGGUCCCAAAGUCAUGGUUAAGUGGGAAACGAUGUGGGAAGGCCCAGACAGCCAGGAUGUUGGCUUAGAAGCAGCCAUCAUUUAAAGAAAGCGUAAUAGCUCACUGGUCGAGUCGGCCUGCGCGGAAGAUGUAACGGGGCUAAACCAUGCACCGAAGCUGCGGCAGCGACACUGUGUGUUGUUGGGUAGGGGAGCGUUCUGUAAGCCUGUGAAGGUGGCCUGUGAGGGUUGCUGGAGGUAUCAGAAGUGCGAAUGCUGACAUAAGUAACGAUAAAGCGGGUGAAAAGCCCGCUCGCCGGAAGACCAAGGGUUCCUGUCCAACGUUAAUCGGGGCAGGGUGAGUCGACCCCUAAGGCGAGGCCGAAAGGCGUAGUCGAUGGGAAACGGGUUAAUAUUCCCGUACUUGGUGUUACUGCGAAGGGGGGACGGAGAAGGCUAUGUUGGCCGGGCGACGGUUGUCCCGGUUUAAGCGUGUAGGUGUGUGUUCCAGGUAAAUCCGGUUCACUUUAACACUGAGGCGUGAUGACGAGGCACUACGGUGCUGAAGCAACAAAUGCCCUGCUUCCAGGAAAAGCCUCUAAGCAUCAGGUAACACGAAAUCGUACCCCAAACCGACACAGGUGGUCAGGUAGAGAAUACCAAGGCGCUUGAGAGAACUCGGGUGAAGGAACUAGGCAAAAUGGUGCCGUAACUUCGGGAGAAGGCACGCUGACACGUAGGUGAAGUGAUUUACUCAUGGAGCUGAAGUCAGUCGAAGAUACCAGCUGGCUGCAACUGUUUAUUAAAAACACAGCACUGUGCAAACACGAAAGUGGACGUAUACGGUGUGACGCCUGCCCGGUGCCGGAAGGUUAAUUGAUGGGGUCAGCGCAAGCGAAGCUCCUGAUCGAAGCCCCGGUAAACGGCGGCCGUAACUAUAACGGUCCUAAGGUAGCGAAAUUCCUUGUCGGGUAAGUUCCGACCUGCACGAAUGGCGUAAUGAUGGCCAGGCUGUCUCCACCCGAGACUCAGUGAAAUUGAACUCGCUGUGAAGAUGCAGUGUACCCGCGGCAAGACGGAAAGACCCCGUGAACCUUUACUAUAGCUUGACACUGAACAUUGAGCCUUGAUGUGUAGGAUAGGUGGGAGGCUUUGAAGUGUGGACGCCAGUCUGCAUGGAGCCGACCUUGAAAUACCACCCUUUAAUGUUUGAUGUUCUAACGUGGACCCGUUA
Molecule: ribosomal RNA, 2061 nt
Filed under: Salmonella enterica
Lineage: Bacteria; Pseudomonadati; Pseudomonadota; Gammaproteobacteria; Enterobacterales; Enterobacteriaceae
Description: partial 23S ribosomal RNA
Rfam family: Bacterial large subunit ribosomal RNA
Source: RNAcentral